GGUUAAGCGACUAAGCGUACACGGUGGAUGCCCUGGCAGUCAGAGGCGAUGAAGGACGUGCUAAUCUGCGAUAAGCGUCGGUAAGGUGAUAUGAACCGUUAUAACCGGCGAUUUCCGAAUGGGGAAACCCAGUGUGAUUCGUCACACUAUCAUUAACUGAAUCCAUAGGUUAAUGAGGCGAACCGGGGGAACUGAAACAUCUAAGUACCCCGAGGAAAAGAAAUCAACCGAGAUUCCCCCAGUAGCGGCGAGCGAACGGGGAGCAGCCCAGAGCCUGAAUCAGUGUGUGUGUUAGUGGAAGCGUCUGGAAAGGCGUGCGAUACAGGGUGACAGCCCCGUACACAAAAAUGCACAUACUGUGAGCUCGAUGAGUAGGGCGGGACACGUGGUAUCCUGUCUGAAUAUGGGGGGACCAUCCUCCAAGGCUAAAUACUCCUGACUGACCGAUAGUGAACCAGUACCGUGAGGGAAAGGCGAAAAGAACCCCGGCGAGGGGAGUGAAAAAGAACCUGAAACCGUGUACGUACAAGCAGUGGGAGCACAGAGCAAUCUGUGUGACUGCGUACCUUUUGUAUAAUGGGUCAGCGACUUAUAUUCUGUAGCAAGGUUAACCGAAUAGGGGAGCCGAAGGGAAACCGAGUCUUAACUGGGCGUUAAGUUGCAGGGUAUAGACCCGAAACCCGGUGAUCUAGCCAUGGGCAGGUUGAAGGUUGGGUAACACUAACUGGAGGACCGAACCGACUAAUGUUGAAAAAUUAGCGGAUGACUUGUGGCUGGGGGUGAAAGGCCAAUCAAACCGGGAGAUAGCUGGUUCUCCCCGAAAGCUAUUUAGGUAGCGCCUCGUGAAUUCAUCUCCGGGGGUAGAGCACUGUUUCGGCAAGGGGGUCAUCCCGACUUACCAACCCGAUGCAAACUGCGAAUACCGGAGAAUGUUAUCACGGGAGACACACGGCGGGUGCUAACGUCCGUCGUGAAGAGGGAAACAACCCAGACCGCCAGCUAAGGUCCCAAAGUCAUGGUUAAGUGGGAAACGAUGUGGGAAGGCCCAGACAGCCAGGAUGUUGGCUUAGAAGCAGCCAUCAUUUAAAGAAAGCGUAAUAGCUCACUGGUCGAGUCGGCCUGCGCGGAAGAUGUAACGGGGCUAAACCAUGCACCGAAGCUGCGGCAGCGACGCUUAUGCGUUGUUGGGUAGGGGAGCGUUCUGUAAGCCUGCGAAGGUGUGCUGUGAGGCAUGCUGGAGGUAUCAGAAGUGCGAAUGCUGACAUAAGUAACGAUAAAGCGGGUGAAAAGCCCGCUCGCCGGAAGACCAAGGGUUCCUGUCCAACGUUAAUCGGGGCAGGGUGAGUCGACCCCUAAGGCGAGGCCGAAAGGCGUAGUCGAUGGGAAACAGGUUAAUAUUCCUGUACUUGGUGUUACUGCGAAGGGGGGACGGAGAAGGCUAUGUUGGCCGGGCGACGGUUGUCCCGGUUUAAGCGUGUAGGCUGGUUUUCCAGGCAAAUCCGGAAAAUCAAGGCUGAGGCGUGAUGACGAGGCACUACGGUGCUGAAGCAACAAAUGCCCUGCUUCCAGGAAAAGCCUCUAAGCAUCAGGUAACAUCAAAUCGUACCCCAAACCGACACAGGUGGUCAGGUAGAGAAUACCAAGGCGCUUGAGAGAACUCGGGUGAAGGAACUAGGCAAAAUGGUGCCGUAACUUCGGGAGAAGGCACGCUGAUAUGUAGGUGAAGUCCCUCGCGGAUGGAGCUGAAAUCAGUCGAAGAUACCAGCUGGCUGCAACUGUUUAUUAAAAACACAGCACUGUGCAAACACGAAAGUGGACGUAUACGGUGUGACGCCUGCCCGGUGCCGGAAGGUUAAUUGAUGGGGUCAGCGCAAGCGAAGCUCUUGAUCGAAGCCCCGGUAAACGGCGGCCGUAACUAUAACGGUCCUAAGGUAGCGAAAUUCCUUGUCGGGUAAGUUCCGACCUGCACGAAUGGCGUAAUGAUGGCCAGGCUGUCUCCACCCGAGACUCAGUGAAAUUGAACUCGCUGUGAAGAUGCAGUGUACCCGCGGCAAGACGGAAAGACCCCGUGAACCUUUACUAUAGCUUGACACUGAACAUUGAGCCUUGAUGUGUAGGAUAGGUGGGAGGCUUGGAAGUGUGGACGCCAGUCUGCAUGGAGCCGACCUUGAAAUACCACCCUUUAAUGUUUGAUGUUCUAACGUUGACCCGUAAUCCGGGUUGCGGACAGUGUCUGGUGGGUAGUUUGACUGGGGCGGUCUCCUCCUAAAGAGUAACGGAGGAGCACGAAGGUUGGCUAAUCCUGGUCGGACAUCAGGAGGUUAGUGCAAUGGCAUAAGCCAGCUUGACUGCGAGCGUGACGGCGCGAGCAGGUGCGAAAGCAGGUCAUAGUGAUCCGGUGGUUCUGAAUGGAAGGGCCAUCGCUCAACGGAUAAAAGGUACUCCGGGGAUAACAGGCUGAUACCGCCCAAGAGUUCAUAUCGACGGCGGUGUUUGGCACCUCGAUGUCGGCUCAUCACAUCCUGGGGCUGAAGUAGGUCCCAAGGGUAUGGCUGUUCGCCAUUUAAAGUGGUACGCGAGCUGGGUUUAGAACGUCGUGAGACAGUUCGGUCCCUAUCUGCCGUGGGCGCUGGAGAACUGAGGGGGGCUGCUCCUAGUACGAGAGGACCGGAGUGGACGCAUCACUGGUGUUCGGGUUGUCAUGCCAAUGGCACUGCCCGGUAGCUAAAUGCGGAAGAGAUAAGUGCUGAAAGCAUCUAAGCACGAAACUUGCCCCGAGAUGAGUUCUCCCUGACUCCUUGAGAGUCCUGAAGGAACGUUGAAGACGACGACGUUGAUAGGCCGGAUGUGUAAGCGCAGCGAUGCGUUGAGCUAACCGGUACUAAUGAACCGUGAGGCUUAACCUU
Molecule: ribosomal RNA, 2906 nt
Filed under: Escherichia coli
Lineage: Bacteria; Pseudomonadati; Pseudomonadota; Gammaproteobacteria; Enterobacterales; Enterobacteriaceae
Description: 23S ribosomal RNA
Rfam family: Bacterial large subunit ribosomal RNA
Source: RNAcentral